CCUACGGGUCGCAGCAGUGGGGAAUAUUGGGGCAUGGGCGCAAGCCUGACCCAGCAAUGCCGCGUGAAGGCAGAAGGCUUUCGGGUGGUAAACUUCUUUGACAGGGGAAGAGCAGAAGACGGUACCCUGAAAACAAGCCACGGCUAACUACGUGCCAGCAGCCGCUGUAAUACGUAGGUGGCAAGCGUUGUCCGGAUUUACUGGGUGUAAAGGGCGUGUAGCCGGGAAGGCAAGUCAGAUGUGAAAUCUGGAGGCUCAACCUCCAAAUUGCAUUUGAAACUGUUUUUCUUGAGUACUGGAGAGGCAGACGGAAUUCCUUGUGUAGCGGUGAAAUGCGUAGAUAUAAGGAGGAACACCAGUGGCGAAGGCGGUCUGCUGGACAGCAACUGACGGUGAGGCGCGAAAGCGUGGGGAGCAAACAGGAUUAGAUACCCCGGUAGUC
This 442-nucleotide ribosomal RNA is filed under the name uncultured bacterium. RNAcentral describes it as "partial 16S ribosomal RNA". It matches the Rfam family "Bacterial small subunit ribosomal RNA", at positions 338 to 795 of the family's 1533-position model. The record is from RNAcentral.